AGACUAUAAGUCUCCUGAAGGAACGUUGAAGACGACGACGUUGAUAGGCCGGGUGUGUAAGCGCAGCGAUGCGUUGAGCUAACCGGUACUAAUGAACCGUGAGGCUUAACCUU
This 113-nucleotide ribosomal RNA is filed under the name Klebsiella quasipneumoniae subsp. similipneumoniae. RNAcentral's name for it is "partial 23S ribosomal RNA". It matches the Rfam family "Bacterial large subunit ribosomal RNA", at positions 2802 to 2925 of the family's 2925-position model. RNAcentral also lists the same sequence under 1 other name. Lineage: Bacteria; Pseudomonadati; Pseudomonadota; Gammaproteobacteria; Enterobacterales; Enterobacteriaceae. The record is from RNAcentral.